ACUACCUUUUGCAGCAACACCUGCUUCCCCGAUGCAUAUGGAUGUCCGGUGUUUCUAGUAUCUUCUCUUCAAGAGAUUUUUCUUUCUCCAUCGCUUCGUUUUGGCAUACUUGUCGAAAAUCAGCUGGCCGUUAGGGCAAAAGUUUAUUUUUGGACUCUGAGUUUUGUUUGCUGACUUACAUGUCUGUCGCUAUGGCCCUGUCCUGCCACCUCGGUUACUGCAGUUUUGCAACAAGGUUUGAAACGUGAAGCGUGAGUCCUCCCACUGGGUUCUUUUUUUUUUUUUUUAAAGAUUUUAUUUAUUUAUUUGACAGAGAGAGACCACAAGUAGGCAGAGAGGCAGGCAGAGAGAGGAAGGGAAGCAGGCUCCCUGCUGAGCAGAGAGCCCGAUGCGGGGCUCGAUCCCAGGACCCUGGGAUCAUGACCUGAGCCGAAGGCAGAGGCUUUAACCCACUGAGCCACCCAGGUGCCCCCUCCCACUGGGUUCUUGAUCCUCAAGACCGUUUUUGCGUUAUUUGGGGGUCCCUCAUGUUUCUCUAUGAAUUUGAGGAUUAGUUCGAGAAUUUCUGCAGAGUAAGAGUGACCCCGAUUCUGACAGGGGUUGUGUUGAGCAUAAAGACCCACUGGGGGAAAACGGCAUCUCAAACAAUCUUCCGGGCCACGGCAGACCCGUGACUCUUGGACCACUUCGAAUUCUGAAGGAAGGUGUCCAACAUGUGCCCACUUAGCAAGGGUCCGGCAGGGAACUCCAACAAGCCUCAUCAGAAUACUGAGGAGGAAUUGGCUGGUUUGGGGGUAUCUGCAAAGCAUACACUUUUCUGGGCUGCUUGAAUUCUCUACGGUGGAUCAUGGCAUCCAAACGCCGGAUGACUUCUCCAGGCACAGAGGAAAUAAAAGAAACAGAAGAAUUGGGAAAACACCUCAGUGCCUGGACAUCCACUACCCCCAGAGAAAACAGAACAACAGUCUCUUAUCUUUUAGGACCCAGGAGCAUCAUACAUGACUGCAAGAAUUCUGGGGACCAGACAUCUUUGUGUGGCCUCAGAAUUACAUCACUACUUAGGAGUGACCACACUUUGGAUUUUGUUUCUUCUCCAUCUGGUUCACCCAUUUGCUGCCUCUGAUGGUUCUGCUGUGGAUAGAAUUCAAGGUUGACAGUGCUUGUUAUCUUAGCAUUUAAUGUUACUCCUGGUGGUCUUCUGGCUUGCGUUGUUUCCAGUAACUCAGUCCUCAUUCUUACUGUUUACACUUAGUUUGUGAAAAUCUCUUUUCCAUCUCUGACUCAGCCAGAUAAUGUCCAUCAACCUGUGUCAGUUUCAUGAAUCUUUCUUUUGAAGAUUCAACAUGCUGUUAAUGUCAUCUAAUGAAUAUUUUACUUCCCACGUUGCAGUUUACACCCUAGAAUUUCCAUGUCCAUUUGGUCCUUCAUGAGAGUUCCCUUUUCUCUCCUGAAACACCCCUAUCUCUUACCCAUUGCAUUCGUUUUUUUCUUUAAAUGUUAAAAUUGUUUAUAGCAAUUAUUCUUAAAUUCUUUUUUAAAAGAUUUUGUUUUUAAGUAAUCUCUAUACCCAAACUGGGUCUUGAAUUCAUAGCCCUGAGAUCAAGACUUGCAUGCUCUACCAACUGAGCUAGCAGGGAGCCCUUGUUUUAAAAUUCUUGAUCCUAAUUCCAAUAACUGGGGUUAAUUGUAGGUCUGUCUCUAUAAGCUGUUUCUUUUUCUUGAUUAUAGGUUGUGUCUUGCAUUCGUAUGCAUGCCUUGUGAUUUUGUGUGUGUGUGUCUAAGAUAGACAUAGACAAUGAAUACUGAAGUACAAUAAUGUUUUCACUUUAUUUCUUAGAGAAUGUAGGCUCUCUCCUCCUGACUGCUGAAGAGAAGGUCUCACUAUUCAGCUUCCUUCCAGAGUCAAAUCGACCUGGGUCUCGGCUUAAGUUUUAAUUAGAUAGAGAUGUGGUGUGCUUAGACUGACCCUCAGACUCUCACACUUUGAGAGAAAUUAUUGAUAUUUGAGGUGAUGGGUUUCUAUUUUUAAUAUUUUUCAUUUACUUUGGAUUUGACUCAGAAGAUAACUAGAAUCUAAAGACUGUGGGAGUACGGGGGUCUUUGUCUACUUGCUCUGGAGGUUAGCCCUUUCUUCCAGGAGACUUUUUGGUCAAAGUUUGAGGGCAGGGUAGAAAUAGGAGAGUGGUUGAAGCAAUUUAUUUUUCUAGUGGGGACACUUCCUCAUUGCAUUCACUUCGGCAGCUGCCAGUACCCCCAAAGCUGAGGUGAUUUCUUCUCCUUGCAAGGUCUCCCCAAUAUCCGGCCAUACCCGACCAGAAACUCUUCCCCAGCAGUAGGGCUGUCCUGACUCCCUUUACCAGCAUGGGGCUCAUUUCUCUGAAAUUCAGUUCAUUAAGACUUCCUUUGUGCCUGAUCUUUGUUAGUCUCAUGGGAAAGUAGGAUUUUUAUAUGUCUGGCUUCUUGGUGUUACCAUGCGAAUAAAGGUCUUUCAUGUCCUUCUACAUUCUAACUUAAAGUAAAAGUUGGAAUCAAACUUUUGAAUUUAAGAAAAUAAAACCAUAA
Molecule: long non-coding RNA, 2562 nt
Filed under: Mustela putorius furo (domestic ferret)
Lineage: Eukaryota; Metazoa; Chordata; Mammalia; Carnivora; Mustelidae
Description: lncRNA (ENSMPUG00000029314.1)
Source: RNAcentral